Molecule: ribosomal RNA, 450 nt
Filed under: uncultured bacterium
Lineage: Bacteria
Description: bacterial SSU rRNA
Rfam family: Bacterial small subunit ribosomal RNA
Source: RNAcentral
GUGGGGAAUUUUGGACAAUGGGCGCAAGCCUGAUCCAGCAAUGCCGCGUGUGUGAAGAAGGCCUUCGGGUUGUAAACCGCUUUUGUCAGGGAAGAAAUCCUUUGGGUUAAUACCUCGGAGGGAUGACGGUACCUGAAGAAUAAGCACCGGCUAACUACGUGCCAGCAGCCGCGGUAAUACGUAGGGUGCGAGCGUUAAUCGGAAUUACUGGGCGUAAAGCGUGCGCAGGCGGUUUUGUAAGAUCGAUGUGAAAUCCCCGGGCUCAACCUGGGAACUGCAUUGGUGACUGCAAGGCUGGAGUGCGGCAGAGGGGGAUGGAAUUCCGCGUGUAGCAGUGAAAUGCGUAGAUAUGCGGAGGAACACCGAUGGCGAAGGCAAUCCCCUGGGCCUGCACUGACGCUCAUGCACGAAAGCGUGGGGAGCAAACAGGAUUAGAAACCCCAGUAGUCC